UACAGAGGUCCCAAGCGUUGUUCGGAUUCAUUGGGCGUAAAGGGUGCGUAGGUGGCGCGCUAAGUCGGGUGUGAAAUUUCGGAGCUUAACUCCGAAACUGCAUUCGAUACUGGUGUGCUUGAGGACUGGAGAGGAGACUGGAAUUCAUGGUGUAGCAGUGAAAUGCGUAGAGAUCAUGAGGAAGACCAGUGGCGAAGGCGGGUCUCUGGACAGUUCCUGACACUGAGGCACGAAGGCCAGGGGAGCAAAUGGG
RNAcentral lists this ribosomal RNA (253 nucleotides) under uncultured bacterium. RNAcentral's name for it is "partial 16S ribosomal RNA". It matches the Rfam family "Bacterial small subunit ribosomal RNA", at positions 524 to 776 of the family's 1533-position model. The record is from RNAcentral.